UGCGACUUAUCUUGGGUCUCUGUCUUGGAAUCCCAUUGUUUGUUGUUUUCUGUGCUGCCACUGUGAUCACCAUCUGCUGUAUGUGUAGGAGAUCCCACAAGCAGACAACAUACACAGAGAGAGGCUCAUUAAACUCUCCCCGUACCCAGCACAACAUGGACCAACCACCAGCAGGUCUAGAUAAUCCAUAUUACUAUUACACGGGUAGAAAGGGUGCUGCAAAGUUCAAGUCACCUUUGUAUAGAGAGCGUUAUCUGCCCAACAACAACCAAUGACACGCUGGUUGAAGCUUUCAAGGCCAAUCAAGACUUGUUUUUUUCAUAUAUAAAAAUUAAAAAGCUGGAAAUUUUUUAACAGUUGACAUGUUAAAAUCUAUAUAUACUAGCCUUUAAAAUCAAUAAACCAUUUACAAAUAAAAAGAUUUUUAAAAAAUCAAUAUAUUUUAAUACAUUACAAGACUACAUAUACAUUUUUAGAUUUUAUUAUAAAAAAAUCUAUAUUAUAUUCAAAUAUUAUUGAUUAUUUUGUCAUAUAUAGGUUUCUAUAUUUUAUAUUUGCUUAUAAUUUAGGUCUACACAUCAGUUUUCAUUCAAUGCAGAUUACAUAACUGUUUGUCACUUUAGGUGUUUUAGUUUUUAUAUAAUAAAUUUGUACACCAGUAUUUUAUGUAAUUUGCAGCUGUUUGAUCAAGCCUAGAAGAUUUUAUUAUAACAAUUAGAAAAGAAAAAAAGCAACAACUUAAACAUUGGCCUAUUUGCAUACUGUCAUUACACAUUCUCACUUGACAUUAGCAAACAUAAAGCUUAGAUAUGGGAACAUUUCUGAUUAUAAUAUUUUUAAAUGAUUCAUCUAUAAAUUUAUUUAAUCGCAAAAAUAGUUAGCACAUAGUAAAUGUUUUAAUUGUUUGCUAUUGUAAAUAAAUGUUUUUAUUGUAUUUAUACAUGGGAAUAAAUGUCUUU
This is a long non-coding RNA of Physella acuta, 959 nucleotides long. RefSeq lists it as uncharacterized. NCBI's taxonomy places the organism in Eukaryota, Metazoa, Mollusca, Gastropoda, Physidae. The record is from RefSeq and is a predicted model, not a curated record.